RNAcentral lists this long non-coding RNA (387 nucleotides) under Homo sapiens (human). Its description in RNAcentral is "HSALNT0392985". The record is from RNAcentral. Lineage: Eukaryota; Metazoa; Chordata; Mammalia; Primates; Hominidae.
AGUAUCAUUUGCAAAACUCAACAAGGAAAGAUGCCUGUGGAUGGCCGUGUUCUGGGAGUCACUGUGAUGAGGUGCUGCCUGCUUUCGCCCAACCUGAUCUGGGGCUCAGACAGCUAACAGGCCCGAGUGGCUAGGAGCCAGGUUCUCACACGUCCCUGAGGAACUAGAGAGGAACGCCUCUGGGAAGCCCAGCCAGAGCCAACUGGAAGGGCCUUUUGGUGAAGUCUGACAUCCUACAUUAGUUUCUCUGGACCUGGCAGAGCUCCCUGGAUAAAUCAUGAACAGAAGCAUCUAUGACCGACAGUUGCUCUGUGUCCUUCUAGCCUCGCAGGAGUUUCCAGCUCAUGAGGGCAGAGGAGAUGAAGAGAGGCCGAUCGACGUGAGGGU